GUUCACAGGUCUGUGGAUUAUGUACCAUUAUUGAGACAAACUUGUCUUGCCUUCUUUCACUCAUCUGGUUGUGUUAUCUCUGUGCUUACAGGUGGUAAACCAGCAAUUCUGGUUGUGAUGCAUCACACCUUCAACCCUAAAAAAGUUCUACCUGAAAGCAGAAGACUGGUGAACAACCCCAAUGUUGAGGUUACUGUGGACUGUCUGUUCUAUGAGGGCAAACUCCUGAAGUCCAACCGAAAUGAUAUUGCAUGGAUUGAUGUCCAGAAGUAUCUUGGAGUUUCCAAGGUCUCUAUCUUGGUAGCUGAAUUCAAGAAUUUCCUCAGUAGCAACCUUGACUUCAUUCAUGAACUUCAGAUUUUAGGUCAGUUAUUUUCUAGUCUAUCUUCUUCACUUUCCUUUGAAUUAAGAGAUAUUGAUGUUAGUAUUAUUAAACUAAAAAUACCAAUCAUUUAUGGUUGCUGUAAUGGCUCCUCCUGUCAAGACUGGAUUUUAAUGUAA
This 501-nucleotide long non-coding RNA is filed under the name Dicentrarchus labrax (European seabass). RNAcentral describes it as "lncRNA (ENSDLAG00005031257.1)". The record is from RNAcentral. Lineage: Eukaryota; Metazoa; Chordata; Actinopteri; Moronidae.